AACGAACGCUGGCGGCAGGCCUAACACAUGCAAGUCGAGCGGACCCUUCGGGGUUAGCGGCGGACGGGUGAGUAACGCGGGGGAAUAUGCCCUUCUCUACGGAAUAGUCCUGGGAAACUGGGGGUAAUACCGUAUACGCCCUUUGGGGGAAAGAUUUAUCGGGGAAGGAUUAGCCCGCGUUGGAUUAGGUAGUUGGUGGGGUAAUUGCCUACCAAGCCGACGAUCCAUAGCUGGUUUGAGAGGAUGAUCAGCCACACUGGGACUGAGACACGGCCCAGACUCCUACGGGAGGCAGCAGUGGGGAAUCUUAGACAAUGGGGGCAACCCUGAUCUAGCCAUGCCGCGUGAGUGAUGAAGGCCUUAGGGUUGUAAAGCUCUUUCAGCUGGGAAGAUAAUGACGGUACCAGCAGAAGAAGCCCCGGCUAACUCCGUG
This 433-nucleotide ribosomal RNA is filed under the name uncultured bacterium. RNAcentral describes it as "partial 16S ribosomal RNA". It matches the Rfam family "Bacterial small subunit ribosomal RNA", at positions 29 to 507 of the family's 1533-position model. The record is from RNAcentral.